UGCGUUUGCACGCAGAACGCGUUUACAAAUAUCACUUUAAUGUUGAUCUUCAACGAUUCGCCCAAGUUGACAAAUUAAUAUAAUUUUAUAAAAUAUUGUUCACUUCUCGGGGCGAACUGGUUUGAAAUAAAAAUGUUGCUGAAUCCCGCAAGCAUAAUUAAAUUCGAAUUUGCUGAACUUUGUGUACCCAACGCACUUCAUAGAAAUAUCACAUUGGUUAUAGUGAUUAGAUGGGGCCAAACACAACACAUUUAUUAAAGUUUAUCUACUCACGAUUUUGACUAUAAUCCGUCCAAGAUUGCGCCGGGGGUAUGUCACGCAAGAAUGUAGGUAUAUUUGGCAGUCUUGC
Molecule: long non-coding RNA, 349 nt
Organism: Anastrepha obliqua
Lineage: Eukaryota; Metazoa; Arthropoda; Insecta; Diptera; Tephritidae
Exons: 3
Source: RefSeq, a predicted model, not a curated record